RNAcentral lists this ribosomal RNA (1025 nucleotides) under Helminthosporium massarinum. Its description in RNAcentral is "SSU rRNA". It matches the Rfam family "Eukaryotic small subunit ribosomal RNA", at positions 68 to 1104 of the family's 1831-position model. Lineage: Eukaryota; Fungi; Ascomycota; Dothideomycetes; Pleosporales; Massarinaceae. The record is from RNAcentral.
AGCAUUAUACCGUGAAACUGCGAAUGGCUCAUUAAAUCAGUUAUCGUUUAUUUGAUAGUACCUUACUACUUGGAUACCUGUGGUAAUUCUAGAGCUAAUACAUGCUAAAAACCCCGACUUCGGAAGGGGUGUAUUUAUUAGAUAAAAAACCAAUGCCCUUCGGGGCUCCUUGGUGAUUCAUAAUAACUUCUCAGAUCGCAUGGCCUUGCGCCGGCGACGGUUCAUUCAAAUUUCUGCCCUAUCAACUUUCGAUGGUAAGGUAUUGGCUUACCAUGGUUUCUACGGGUAACGGGGAAUUAGGGUUCGAUUCCGGAGAGUUAGCCUGAGAAACGGCUAACACAUCCAAGGAAGGCAGCAGGCGCGCAAAUUACCCAAUCCUGAUACAGGGAGGUAGUGACAAUAAAUACUAAUACAGGGCUCUUUUGGGUCUUGUAAUUGGAAUGAGUACAAUUUAAACCUCUUAACGAGGAACAAUUGGAGGGCAAGUCUGGUGCCAGCAGCCGCGGUAAUUCCAGCUCCAAUAGCGUAUAUUAAAGUUGUUGCAGUUAAAAAGCUCGUAGUUGAACCUUUGGCCUGGCUGGCAGGUCCGCCUCACCGCGUGCACUUGUCCGGCCGGGCCUUUUCUUCUGGAGAACCGCAUGCCCUUCACUGGGUGUGUUGGGGACCAGGACUUUUACUUUGAAAAAAUUAGAGUGUUCAAAGCAGGCCUUUGCUCGAAUAUUACAGCAUGGAAUAAUAAAAUAGGACGUGCGGUUCUAUUUUGUUGGUUUCUAGGACCGCCGUAAUGAUUAAUAGGGACAGUCGGGGGCAUCAGUAUUCAAUUGUCAGAGGUGAAAUUCUUGGAUUUAUUGAAGACUAACUACUGCGAAAGCAUUUGCCAAGGAUGUUUUCAUUAAUCAGUGAACGAAAGUUAGGGGAUCGAAGACGAUCAGAUACCGUCGUAGUCUUAACCAUAAACUAUGCCGACUAGGGAUCGGGCGGUGUUAUUAUUUUGACUCGCUCGGCACCUUACGAGAAAUCAAAGU